CAUAAGUCCUCAUAUUAUUUACUAACGAUUAGUAAAUACACCAUGCAACUUUUACACAUAAAUACCUCUAAUUUACAACAAUUGCAAAUUAGUUCUUUUACUAAUAAAUUAGUAAACUUUAGUAUUUAACUAUAUUAUAAUUGUAAUUAAUCCAUCCGAUAAACUUCUUUUAUCGUCUCCUAAAUAUCGAUCAUGCGCGAUUUCUUAUGUGUGUGACCUAAUAGGUUCAAUUCUGUCUGGUAGUGAGAUAUGAUGAGAUCUCCAUCUCCAUCAUCAUCGAAACUCUUUUCGAUGGCUCAAACUCUUUUGAUUCCACCCUUAUAGAAUAAUUAAUUAUCUAUAAUUAUUUCUAUUGGUUCCCACAAUCCACCAGUGACGCCUAGCAGCAUGUAGUGACAAUCCAGUCAGAAGUGAAUAUCGGACUGAACCUCUAGGUGCAGUUACCGUACAAUACAAUCCUUCUAUCGCAUAGUUCCAACUGAGUGGAGGUCAUGGAAUAUUCGUCAAACCCCAUCACCCGUCAUAUGUCAAACUUGAUAGGACAAAAGCUGUAAUAUACCAAAAAUUCGGAAAACAAAUAUCGAACUUUAGUCAAAUUGACCAAAGUGCGAGGAUGGUACACUUCGGAAAGUUUGAAGGUGUUAAAAUGAAUAAAAGUGCGUUAUGGGAGGUUUUCGAGAGCUUGAGAAUCAAAAAUCUGCAAACUGCAGUUUUGAGCUCUCGGAGACCGGUCCCUGGUGGGAGAGACCGGUCCCCGAACGCGUGAGAAAUAAGACAGCCGAAAAAUCGGCUAAGUCCUGAGAAACCAGCUCUCGGGAACCGGUCCCUGCCUGAGAGACCGGUCCCCGAGAGACCGGUCCCCCAAAGAGAGACCGGAUGCAUCGCAGGAAGCCCUGCGCAGCAGCAGGGAGGACCUUCGGGAACCGGUCCCUGGUCGGGGAGACCGGUCCCCGCCUGCGCGAACAGCCCAGUCCAGGCUGUGUGAAAGGACAAAAGUUGAGGGGUUUAGCUGCAACUUGGCAACCCAUAGAGAUAUGUAUGGGGACAAAUAAGACAUUUCUCUCAUUCUCACCCUCUCAAUCCCUCUCUUCUCUCUUUCUCUCUCUAGAAGACAAGAAGAGGAAGAAGAAGACAAAGGGAAAGAAGGAGAAGAAGGUGGAGAACAAGAAGAAGAGUUGAAGCAACUCUCUCCCCUCCUUCUCUAGCUUGGAAAAGGAAGGCUUACAAGGUAAGCCUUGAACCCUAUCAUGGUAGAACCUAAUCUAGGGUUUAGAUUAAGCUACAAAUGGUUUUUGUAGAGCUUUUUGAGUAUUUGAAGCCUUCCUUUUGCUUCUUUUGAGAUCAAGACCAUGGCAUGAGUGUUGGAGGUGAAGCUUGAAGGAGAGCUUCAUCACCUCUCAUGGUGAAAUCCAAACUAGGGUUUGGAGUGAGCUAGGAAUGGUCUAGAUGGACUUCUUAGAGUAGAAUGAAGCUACUUUUGCUUCCCAAUGAGAUCAAACCCUAGGUUUGAUGGUGCUAUGGAGCUAGGGCACCCAAAUUAGGGUUUUUGCUUGCGAGGGUUCUAAAGUGCAAUUGACCCUCUAGAAACCUAAUUGGGGGUAUUUCCGACGCGUUGAUGCACUCGGAUUAACGUUACGAAAAGCCAAUGUAAAGAUAUGGAAAAAAUGGCCUAAGUUGGCUUCGUUUUGCCGCAGGUGAAGAGCGAGGAGACUAAAAAUCCCAAGAAAAUCGUCGGAGCACCUUUGAGAACCUACAAGGUGGGUGGUGCUUUCCAAACUCAUUGAACUUCCUUCUAUGCCUAAUGUGUCAUUCAAUUGAGCAUAUGUAUAUACAUUGUUGCAUGCAUUUUACGGUAAAGCAAUGAUAAAAAUGGGAUGUUGCAUGAUUGUGAGUACAACUUGCAUAAUGUGAUGGUUAAGAACUUUAUGAAUGUCAAAGACCCUAUAUGUAUGCAUGAGAGAAAAUGUGAGUACCUAAGUGAGGCAAAAGAACAGAGUGACACUGUGACAUAGAUCGAGUGGCAUUCGGUAAUGUAAAGUAAAGUGACACUAGAGUUAGUGUGAGACAAAGAAUCAAAGUGAUAUAAAGAAUGAUGACAAUGACUAAAGCUAAAGCAAAGUGGGACAUAAAGAACGUGCAAAGAGUUAAGAACAUGAAUGCUAGAGAUAGCCAAAAGUAAAGAAAUGUAAAAAACAAUGAUUGCUAGAGUUAGCAACGUAAAGUGCUGAAAAGAACACUAGAGUUAGUGUAAUGACAAGAUUGAACUUAUAAUCCUUAGAGUUAAGGAUUCGAUCAUACUUGCUAUGAGUUCCGUGCUCGAGGGCGGUCGCUCCCCCUCGGGCGAUGCGCUCCGGAGUUUUUGCAUCACGGGUUGGAGUAAACCCGAGGACGGUCCUAGCGGGUGAGUUCCUGCGAUGAUGGACUUAAUGUGAAGCAAGGUAAUGUGGCGAAACCCCCGAGUUAGCCUUGAGAUUAAAGAACAAAGAGUAAAGAACAAAGAGUAAAGAACCAAGAAUAAAGAAUAAAGAGUAAAGUCAAAGAACGAAAGAACUUGCAUAAUCUACAUAUAGUUAAUGUUGAGUAUACUUCUUGCUUAUUGUUCAGGCAUAUUAGUAUCAUGUUAUAGAUUGGUUACUAUGCAGCUUAUCCUUUCUAUUAUGCCAGAGUUAGUCUUAGUGGGAAAGUCGGUGAUGUUGGGGCCGAACCCACUGGGAACUUUGUUGUAGUUCUCACCCCACUAUUCCAC
RNAcentral lists this long non-coding RNA (2746 nucleotides) under Ananas comosus (pineapple). RNAcentral's name for it is "long non-coding RNA (ACOM_LNC034749)". The record is from RNAcentral. Lineage: Eukaryota; Viridiplantae; Streptophyta; Magnoliopsida; Poales; Bromeliaceae.